Molecule: long non-coding RNA, 566 nt
Organism: Hyaena hyaena (striped hyena)
Lineage: Eukaryota; Metazoa; Chordata; Mammalia; Carnivora; Hyaenidae
Exons: 4
Source: RefSeq, a predicted model, not a curated record
CCCGCAGUAGUUUGGCUGCAUAUGUGGUUUUCCAGGAUUGCAUGUCCUCCACAUGAUGCGUGCUCUUUGGAAAUCCUUUAUUUCAGAAUCUGUCAUAAACCACAAGUGACGGUUUGGGGAAAUGCAAGGGAUUCGACGCCCCAAGUUCCUCCUGUGGAUGGAGUCGUACGAGGAGGGUCUUCUGCAUCCAGCUUGCUGCCCAAGCGUAACGUCCUCGAGGCCCCCCCGCAGUGCGGCCGGGGUCAGAACCUCCUUCGCACGUCUUCUUAUCCGUUGAUCUGUCCCUGGACACUGGAUGCCUCCAGGACUUGGCUGUGGUGAAUCAUACUGAUGUGAACACGGUAGGCCUGGUCUCUAACGAUGGGAAAUAUGAACGUGGAGCCUUCCUGAAUGGGAGCACAGCAGUGUGAAGGGGUGAGUGGUCCCCUGCUCUGGCCGUGUUCAUGUAUCAUCAUCAAGAAGUGUGUUCUGUGCUGCUCAGUGUGGUCCAUGAACAGCCUGCUUCUGGCCUGUAACAAGUCUAAAAUGGAGCGUAUAGAGGCUCCGGUCAUGUUCUCACGGUCAUG